GGCCGAGCUGCGCCACGGGGACGGGAUCCCGGCUGCGGGGGGGGGAGCGGGGCCACCCCAUGCGCCUGAAGGUACCGGAACCCGGCGGCGUCCCCUGUGUCCCCAGUAGUGUCCCUGGUUUCCCUAGCAGUGUCCCCAGUGUCCCCAGCGGCAUCCCCAGUUGUGUCCCCAGUGUCCCCAGCAUCCUUAGUGUCCCCAGUGUCCCCAGCGGCGUUCCCAGCGGUGUCCCCAGCAGUGUCCCCAGUGUCCCCAGCAGCGUCCCCAGCAGCGUCCCCAGCAUUCCCAGCAGUGUCCCCAGCGGUGUCCCCAGUAUCCCCAGUGCUGUCCCCAGUGUCCCCAGCGGUGUCCCCAGCGGCAUCCCCAGUGUCCCCAGUGUCCCCAGUGGUGUCCCCAGUGGAGUCCCCAGCGGUGUCCCCAGUGGUGUCCCUAGUGGAGUCCCAAGCAGCAUCCCCAGUGUCCCCAGCUGUGUUCCCAGCGGUGUCCCCAGCGUCCCCAGUGUCCCCAGCAUCCUUAGUGUCCCCAGCAGUGUCCCCAGUGUCACCAGCGGCGUCCUCAGUGGUGUCCCCAGCAGUGUCCCCAGUGGUGUCCUCAACGUCCCCAGUGUCCCCAGCAGCAUCCCCAGUGGUGUCCCCAGUGUCCCCAGUGGUGUCCCCAGUGUCCCCAGUGGUGUCCCCAGUGUCCCCAGCAUCCCCAGUGGUGUCCCCAGCAUCCCCAGCGGUGUCCCCAGUGUCCCCAGUGUCCCCAGCGGAGUCCCCAGCGGCAUCCCCAGUGUCCCCUGCGUCCCCAGCAGUGCCCCCAGUGUCCCCAGCAGCAUCCCCAGCGGUGUCCCCAGCAGCGUCCCUAGUGUCCCCAAGUGUCCCCAGUGGUGUUCCCAGUGUCCCCAGCACUGUCCCCAGCAUCCCCAGUGUCCCCGGUGUCCCCGGCAGAGUCCCCAGUGCCCCCAGUGUCCCCAGCAGCGUCCCCAGUGGUGUCCCCAGUGUCCCCUGCAUCCCCAGCGGCGUCCCCAGUGUCCCCAGUGGUGUCCCCAGUGUCCCCAGCGGUGUCCCCAGCAGUCUCCCCAGUGACGUCCCCAGCGGCGUCCCCAGUGUCCCCAGCAGUGUCCCCAGUGGCCUCCCCAGCGGUGUCCCCAGCAGU
Molecule: long non-coding RNA, 1134 nt
Filed under: Numida meleagris (helmeted guineafowl)
Lineage: Eukaryota; Metazoa; Chordata; Aves; Galliformes; Numididae
Description: lncRNA (ENSNMEG00000006463.1)
Source: RNAcentral